GUGUGUACACCUGUGUGGAUCAACGCGCUUGUAUACAAAAGGUUUCCCCAUGUAACGGUCUGCUAGAGGGUGUGGAGGCCCAUAGCCCCGUCCCCCAGGGCAUGAAGCAGGCAUGGAGGAGAUCCAGGCUCCAGACAUCCAGAGGCCCCAGAGUGCGAGAGCCCAAGGAGGACCACCGGAGGGGCAUCCGUGCCACCUUCCUGGGAAGGGCUGAGGAGAUCCCCAGACGAGGGGGUCACCCAGUAGCCACGGAGCAGAAGCCAGAGGGGGCUGCACCGGCGUGCCCGCCGGCUCUGAACCGAGUUGCAGGCCCCGAGGCCUGCUCCAUUAAGUGGAUGAACUGUAUGUGAUUUUCUAUUUUGUUUGGAGGUUGCAUUUCUUCUUCAGUGCAAGUAUGAGUGAUUCAGAGUGAACCUUCCUAGAUGUCGCCAUCACGGAAGUCCUACCAGAACUUCAAGCUGUGAACAAAAACAUACUGGAAGAGCACUUGCAGUCCAUUGGAGUUGAGACAAGUGAUGAUCUAUGCUUCAUAAUGUAGCUUCUGCUCAGCGCUUUUGAAGAGAAGGAGGAGUCCAUGCUUUUCUGUGUUGAAGAUGCAUGUCUGGCAGAUGAGGUACAACUGGAGCAAGUGCCUCUGACACCCACUAUUAUUGUGUGUGGUGUUUCUUCUCCAUAAACCCAGAAAAGGAACCAAAGUACAGAACAAAAACUCAAAGCGUUGUCUCAGUGUGAACCCUCGAGUCCUCACCCCGAUUCAGGAUCUCGCUGACCACGAGUGGCGCUAAGCCUAAAUCUUGACUCUCUGUGGACUGUUGGUGUUACUUUGUUCCACAAUGUGUACAGAAACCUUUAACUGGUCGAAUGCAUGAAGCCAAUUCACCACGUAGUUUUCCUGAUGUGUUUUCUGACCAAGGCCAUGGUUGUGGUGACAGCAGGGUGCGUGUUGCAUUGCAUGGUGAUUAUGAUAAUUUUUGGCACAACAUGUGAUUUUUGUUUUAAAGUCUUAACAGGUUUAACUUUUUCUGGUAGAAGGUCUAACAAAUGCUUGUUUCAUGAAAGAUGGUUCUUGCUUUGCAGGAAUGUUCCACAGCUUUUAUAGCUUAUAUUUUGAUUGAAUUGUGUAGUUGCUGUGUGCCUUGCAUAUUGUGUUAGUUGGAAAAAAAAUGUAUCCAAUUGCUGUCAUUUGGCUAAUCUGGCUGUAAAAAUAAAUUUCCCAAAAGUGAUAUUUUCCUCUCUUGUGUUUUCUCAAGAUGUAUUUUUGCAUGUUUGGGUGUCGGCAUAGCAGUAUUAAAU
Molecule: long non-coding RNA, 1293 nt
Organism: Oreochromis aureus
Lineage: Eukaryota; Metazoa; Chordata; Actinopteri; Cichliformes; Cichlidae
Source: Ensembl